RNAcentral lists this transfer RNA (75 nucleotides) under Myxococcales bacterium. RNAcentral's name for it is "tRNA-Glu". It matches the Rfam family "tRNA". From Rfam's summary of the family: Transfer RNA (tRNA) molecules are approximately 80 nucleotides in length. Their secondary structure includes four short double-helical elements and three loops (D, anti-codon, and T loops). Further hydrogen bonds mediate the characteristic L-shaped molecular structure. tRNAs have two regions of fundamental functional importance: the anti-codon, which is responsible for specific mRNA codon recognition, and the 3' end, to which the tRNAs corresponding amino acid is attached (by aminoacyl-tRNA synthetases). tRNAs cope with the degeneracy of the genetic code in two manners: having more than one tRNA (with a specific anti-codon) for a particular amino acid; and 'wobble' base-pairing, i.e. permitting non-standard base-pairing at the 3rd anti-codon position. Lineage: Bacteria; Pseudomonadati; Myxococcota; Myxococcia; Myxococcales. The record is from RNAcentral.
GGCCCGUUAGUCUAGCGGUCAGGACGCCGGCCUCUCACGCCGGAAUCACGGGUUCAAUUCCCGUACGGGCUACCA